Molecule: ribosomal RNA, 468 nt
Filed under: uncultured bacterium
Lineage: Bacteria
Description: partial 16S ribosomal RNA
Rfam family: Bacterial small subunit ribosomal RNA
Source: RNAcentral
GACGAACGCUGGCGGCGUGCUUAACACAUGCAAGUCGAACGGAAAGGCCCUGCUUUUGUGGGGUGCUCGAGUGGCGAACGGGUGAGUAACACGUGAGUAACCUGCCCUUGACUUUGGGAUAACUUCAGGAAACUGGGGCUAAUACCGGAUAGGAGCUCCUGCUGCAUGGUGGGGGUUGGAAAGUUUCGGCGGUUGGGGAUGGACUCGCGGCUUAUCAGCUUGUUGGUGGGGUAGUGGCUUACCAAGGCUUUGACGGGUAGCCGGCCUGGGAGGGUGACCGGCCACAUUGGGACUGAGAUACGGCCCAGACUCCUACGGGAGGCAGCAGUGGAGAAUAUUGCACAAUGGGCGGAAGCCUGAUGCAGCAACGCCGCGUGCGGAAUGACGGCCUUCGGGUUGUAAACCGCUUUCGCCGGUGACGAAGCGUGAGUGACGGUAAUGGGUAAGAAAGCACCGGCUAACUACGUG